GCGGUAGAAACUCAUCUUCCACAUUUAGAAAAGAAUGAUCAUUUGAUUGAGUAAUUAAGGAAACGUUUGUGAAAAUGGUGUUUUUCUUCAAAGUAAUCUUAUGGUGUUCUUCCAUAUUCAAAGUAAAAUGUUUUAGAAAAGAAGUUUGAUCUUAUGGAAGGGAAAGUUUUGAGUUUACAAGGUUUUGGGAAGGAGUUCACGAAAUUAUCAAGGGCUAGGGUAUGUUAUCGUUUUAAUUGACUAAAUGAGUAACGUUACCUUGUCCGCGUGAUUAGGGAAUUCCAAGCAUCUGAUUUCCUGCCAAAUCCAAAGGUCAGGAUUCUAUUGAUUUUCAAUCAAGGUAAGUGCACUUCGGCUACGGCCUAGAAAUCUUGAUUGUGUAUGUUAUGGAUCUAUAGACGAACAUGCUUUUAAUGACACUUCGGUCUAGAGGUCUUGUUUGUGGAUGUGAUUGAUUAUUUAUGUGCUGAUGAUGAUUGAUCAUGAUGUAAAAAUGCUAGCAUAAUGUUAAUAUGAACAUGCCUGAUAUGAUAUGCUUAAGUUGCGAGUUGUAUUUUUUAUUAUAUUGAAGUUAUAUAUCGUUUGUCAUGCAUUCAUGUCGUGGACGUGAUGUGGCAAGUAUGCAUGUGUCAGAUGGACACGUGGAUUAGGGCUUCAGACCGUGAGAACGACAGAUCUGUUAGCUGCUUAGACAGCUGACUUGCAUAACAUAAGUGUCUUACCAAGUGACCAUGAUGGGCUUGGUGGCCAUGACUAGUGACCAUGAUGGUUAGUCCGUGGUGUGUUUUAUCAAGUGACCUUGAUGGGCUUGAUGGCCAUGAUUAGUGACAAUGAUUGGCUAAUUUGUGUCUAACCCCGACUGCGGAACUGAGAUGUAGUGGUCCAUUGACAAUGGGUCAACCCCAAUCGUUGAGUCGUAUUUUUCCUGGCCGACCCUUUGAGGUUCUGGGAUUAUGGAUAUGUGAACCUUCAUGUGUUUUAUCACAUUCUAGGUUGUCUUCUUUGUUACUUUUGUAAUCUUGAUUGUGGUUACAAAAAUCAGCAAGAGUCUCUUCCUUUUUGUCUCAUAUACGAAACGUAUUUUCAUUCCCCUUUUAAAUUCUUUUCAUCUUUCUCAUCUUGAUCUCCAGAACCUCUAUUCCUAUGCAAUAAAUCUCUUCCAUCUGGACCUCCCAACAACACCAUCCCUGCAUAAGAAGAUCAUCCAUUAGGUUAGAAAAAUUUCUUUUCCAUUUGGAUUCAAACAAUAUGAUAGAGCGGGAAAGCACGAAUAAACCACAAAAAAAAAUUGUUCACGCAGUUCGGCAUAUAGUGCCUACCUUUGCGGCUAUAGAGUAGCUAUAGCUCCCUUUAUUGAUUAUCAAUAAUCAAUUGUGUUUACAAUAGAAAUUUCUCUCAACUACCCAAUUGUCUCACACAUCUGCAAUAGCAGUUUCUCUCAACUGCCCAAUUGUUGCGUACCCUCGCACACUGCCUAAUUGCGGGGCACUUGCACACCGCCCAAUUGUUGUGCACUCUGCAUUCACCUAGUGCACACUAGCACACAAUUAGAGUUACAUUGCAACUCUAUUUAUAGUGGAUUCUACUGAUCCUUAUUUUACAAUAAAAUCCAUAUAAGCUCUAUCACAAUCCCCUUAAAUCAAAUCCUAAUAAACUAAAUAUUUGGCCUCAAAUUAAAUAAAAUCCACGGGCUUCAGAUUUCCCUAAUGAGCCAAUUCUCAAACUAGUAGAUUUUGGAUUCUUUUUCUAGAAAAUGUUGAAGAAAAGAAUGGUGAUGGUGUGGAACAUGGGUGUAGGAGUGGUGGUUGAGGGGGAGGGGGAUUGGUGGUGGGGUGAGAGGGACCAAAACUGUAGCAAGAGAAGAACUUAAAAAAAUUAAUUUUUUUAAUCAAAAUAUUAUUAUAAAAAGCCACGUCAGUUUUCCGUUAGUUUUUGGAUGGAAUAUGGACAGAAAACCAAUUCUGCAAACGGAGGUAUUCGUCGGGGAUGCGUAAUGCAAUUGAUUUUUGUUGGGGGCCAGAAUCGUGAAAAAGAUAUAAGUGAGGGACCAAAUGUGAAAUUAAGGCUACUUUAUAUUUAGGCUUACUGUAAAAUGCGGUUUACUAUAUUCCAAUGAAUCUUUUUUGUUACAUAGGAAAGAUAAUUUGCACCCUCCAGGGAUCGAUCCCUGGACCUCCCCCUACCCAACCUACAAGUUUCAUAAUUCUUACCACUUGAGCUAUCAUUCAAUGACUAUUUCCAAUGAAUAUGGUAGCAAGUAGAUCUUUAUUGAUUUUUUAGAGUAUAUCAAAGUAGACUUUAUAAAAUGAGGAAUAUGAUAAUCUUAUUUUGCAGGCUUUAUAACUUUAUACAAUGUUUAUUGAGAUAUCGUUAAAUUUAUAACUUUUAUUUUUCUACAAUGAUUAAUUAAUCAUAGUUGAAUGUGUUCUUCAUGCUAAAACAUAAACAAAAAAAUUUGCCAAGGGUAAAACAACUUUAUAAUUGUGGCUAAAAAAUGUGGGUUAAAAAACACAACAAAGGGCCUUAAAUAAAUUUUCCAAGUUUACCUUAACAUUGCCCUCUUUUCAAUUAGUUUUUACUCACCUAUAAAUUCUUUUAGUUUUUCGAUAUGGUUGUAAUUUUUUAAGACUAACAUAAUUAUUUUUAUAAGUUUAUCCGAAGCAUAUAAAACUGUCAAUUAAUUUUAACUAGUUUUCUUAAUCUGAUGAAAUUAGUUAAAUCUGAGUAAUAAGUAGAAAAAUAGAGAGUCAUAAUAGUGAAUGAUUAAAGAUAAGCAACAUAUAAAAAGGAUCAACACCUUGAAUCUCAGCCCAUUUUAAUAAUACAGAAUUAAAGUAUGAGGUUCUUAAUUAAUUUCUCUUCUUUACACAAAUAUAUGGAUGGAUGCAUGACUGUAUUUGGUAUAGAAGUUAUGGAAUGAUAACGCAUUAUAAGGGAAAUUUUAUGGAAAUUUAGCUAUAAAUUUGAGUUGAUAGUUUAUAUCCUGAUAUAAGGGCUGAUAGUGCUAGACACAAAAAGGCAAAAAAGGACAUGCUAAUGGCUGCAGCUAAAGAAUCUGUGAAUAUAUUGUCUUCUACACUCCUCAUCCCACUUGUCAUUGGAAUCCCGGAUGAUACUGAUGACAUCAUGAGAUAUGCCAUAACCUGAAACCAAAAACUGAUCACUGAUGAUGCUAUCAUUAAAUUAAAUUUCAUGACAAAAUUUGAUUCUUUGCUAUCUAUAGAGGUGGUUGGGCUUAGAAACAGAGCACCAUGAAAAUGAAUGCAAUGAGAGAAGAAGGAAUGCAAAACCUGAUCUCCAACAAAAGAAAAAGUAAUCAACACUGCAGAUCUCGGUCGAAGUAGGUUUAUUUCAGUGUAAAGUUCUUGAACUUGACGAAAAACUUGGUAACCAGUGUACAAACUAGAUAUAAUGGCUGUGGCCAGCAAAUGCCUGAAAUUCAAAAAUUCCAAUUUCAACAUCCUAAUAAGCAAAAUCAAAUUUUGACUAAAGCCACUAAUCUUGUUAGAAGUCCCACAUUGGCUAGAGAUAGAGUAUAGAUAGCCUUUAUAAGGGUAGUGCAAACCUCAACUCUUGAGCUAGCUUUUGUGGUUGAAUAUAGACCUCCUUAUUUUUAUAAUAAUUUUUAUAAUGUUAUUCUUAGGUUGUCUGUAUAAACAACCGUCCUUAUUUUUCUUCAAUUUUAGAGUUUUUAUGUUAUAUGUUUGUGUUGUGGAUUAUCUCCUAUUUAUUUCUCUAUUGUGUGACUUUGUUUUUCCUAAUAGGUUCACACUUAAAUAAUUAUUACAAAUAUAAUAUAAAAUCAUUGAUAUAUAUUCAUAAUUUGUUUCUUUGCAAUUAAGGAGUUUCUGGGUUCUACCUGAAUUCUUCAUACUUGUCGAAAUCUUUCCAACCGCCAUGCUUGUUGCUUGCCAUGGUGAUGAAGGAAAUGAAAGAGGAAACAAAAGCAAUUACUCUCAACCACAACAAACCUCUCUCGAGCAAAACUUCC
RNAcentral lists this long non-coding RNA (3991 nucleotides) under Lotus japonicus. RNAcentral's name for it is "long non-coding RNA (LJAP_LNC000861)". The record is from RNAcentral. Lineage: Eukaryota; Viridiplantae; Streptophyta; Magnoliopsida; Fabales; Fabaceae.